Non-coding RNA from Pelobates cultripes (western spadefoot toad), 203 nucleotides. The record is from the annotation of a GenBank genome assembly. Lineage: Eukaryota; Metazoa; Chordata; Amphibia; Anura; Pelobatidae.
AUUAGAGCAGUUCUGCAGCUUUAAAUUGGCCGCCAUUCGACAAACGAACACGUGGCGGUGGCCAUCUUUAAUUCAGCUGAAGUUUUACCUUCUCCAGACUUCAAUCCAUUCGACAGUUCAUUCGACAGUUGGACAAUUCGAAUGGUUGUCGUUCGUCUGUUUGAACUGACUUUAACAUGGGAAAUAGACAGACCGCACAACCU